GGAGGAAUGGUCGAGAGGCUUAUGGCAUUGGUCUUGAAAACCGAAGUGUGUAACAGCACCGUAGGUUCGAAUCCCACUUUCUCUUCCA
Molecule: transfer RNA, 88 nt
Filed under: Caudoviricetes sp.
Lineage: Duplodnaviria; Heunggongvirae; Uroviricota; Caudoviricetes
Description: tRNA-Ser
Rfam family: tRNA
About the family: Transfer RNA (tRNA) molecules are approximately 80 nucleotides in length.
Source: RNAcentral